CACAGUCAGACAGUGUCACCUUCUCUUCUUCUCUCAGAGAUCGAAGUCAGUUUCUCUUCUACUCUUCUUCUUCAAUUUGGGCAAUCAAUCAAUUGAAUGCAUUUAGCAGUGGAUUGAAGAUUUUUUUAUGUGCUUUGCUGUGGAAGUGUGGAACACUGGAACUUGCUUACGAAAGGAAGAAAGUGAUGCAGAGAGCUAUAGCUAUCUUGAUGAUGCCGUCGAAGCCUAUUUGGAGAGCAUUGUUUAAAGGCUAAAAUCAACUUGGUAAUUGAGCAAAGCUACUGCUUUCAAGGUAUUCUCUUUCUUUUUCUUUUUUCUUACUGCA
Molecule: long non-coding RNA, 325 nt
Organism: Rosa rugosa (rugosa rose)
Lineage: Eukaryota; Viridiplantae; Streptophyta; Magnoliopsida; Rosales; Rosaceae
Exons: 3
Source: RefSeq, a predicted model, not a curated record